GACGAACGCUGGCGGCGUGCCUAAUACAUGCAAGUCGAACGCAGUGGGGGCGGGUGAGUAACACGUGGGUAACCUCCCAUCAGAGGGGAUAACCCUUGGAAACAGGUGCUAAACCGAUACUGAUGGAUGGACCCGCGGGGCAUUAGCUAGUUGGUGGGGUAACGGCUCACCAAGGCCACGAUGCAUAGCCGACCUGAGAGGGUGAGCGGCCACACUGGGACUGAGACACGGCCCAGAAUCCUACGGGAGGCAGCAGUAGGGAAUCUUGCGCAAUGGACGAAAGUCUGACCGAGCAACGCCGCGUGAGUGAAGAAGGUUUUCGGAUUGUAAAACUCUGUCGUCAGAGAAGCGGUAUCUAACCAGAAAGCCACGGCUAACUACGUGCCAGCAGCCGCGGUAAUUC
Molecule: ribosomal RNA, 403 nt
Filed under: uncultured bacterium
Lineage: Bacteria
Description: partial 16S ribosomal RNA
Rfam family: Bacterial small subunit ribosomal RNA
Source: RNAcentral